RNA transcript from Gopherus evgoodei (Goodes thornscrub tortoise), 3103 nucleotides. It is a transcript of the gene named G protein-coupled receptor 61, with no coding region annotated. The record is from RefSeq and is a predicted model, not a curated record. NCBI's taxonomy places the organism in Eukaryota, Metazoa, Chordata, Testudines, Testudinidae. The transcript has 3 exons.
GGCUGGGUCUGGCUUGGCUGCAGCAUUUCUCUCUGCAUCCCCAGGUAUCUGGAGUGUCUUGGUCGAUGGGAGAAACGCACAGAGCCAAGUCCAGUCUCCUGACUGAAACCUCAAGGAGCUGGGGAAGAACUGGAGCUGGACACCUGAGCUCUGGCCACCAGGGACUCCAGGAUCCAUUUUAAUGGAAGGGAGAGGACCUGAGCUGGGCGGAGGCAGCCCUUCAGAGGGUCAUGCUGGAAGCCAGUUCAGCAGCACCAGGGCAAAGGAAUGAGCAGGGCUAGGCUGGAUUCCUCUCUGCUCGCCUAGCCUGGCUCUCUUCCCUUCCGCUCCUGGCCAGGGCCUGCUGGCAGGAUGCUGGGGCUCGCUGCGCAGGUGGAAAGCACAGGGUGCUAAGCUUUGCUGGGGAAAAGCGAGCAGCAAGAUGAGAUCCCAGGAGGGCUGAAAACAGGUGGGAGACCCUUAGCCAGGGCACAGCCCCAUCUGCAAUCCCAUGGCCUUUCUGGACCAGUGGGCAUCACUGACCCAAGCACAAUCCAGCAAGACAGAGACAAGGAUGCGAAAUUCAGUGCAGCUGAGCAGCAGGAUGGCCAGUGUAAUCCAGCAGCAUCGGGAAGUGUAAAUGCCCUUGGAGCAUGGACUUGUCCUCUGGGACUUGGCAGCUGGUGAAGGAGCCAGCCAGAAUGUGAGUCUGUGGACUGGGAUUGCUCCCUCUCCACUGGCUAAUUCUCUCUGAUUACUCUAGGGGACCCAGAAUAGGAUGGAUGAUGGACCUGUGAGGGGAGGUGCCGUGGGCGUCGACACCAGUCUCCAUGGAGCCUUCACUCCCUACACAGUGGGCAUGGAAUUCCUCCAGGCCAGGAAGACUGCUCCAUACAUCCCAGAGCACCAUGCAUCCCAAUUCCACCCUGGACACCAAGACCAGGGAUGUGGCCUCAGAAUCCAUUGGGCUCUUCUUCAUGCUCUUGGUUGACCUGAUGGCCAUAGUGGGCAAUGUGGCUGUGAUGACCGUCAUCAUCAAGACACCAGCACUGAGGAAGUUUGUCUUUGUUUUUCACCUCUGUCUGGUGGACCUCUUGGCAGCCCUGACCCUCAUGCCUUUGGCCAUACUGUCAAGCUCCGCCUUCUUCAACAGCACCAUCUUCGGUGAGGCCAUGUGCCGUGUCUACCUCUUCCUGAGCGUCUGCUUCAUCAGCAUGUGCAUCCUCUCCAUCUCGGCCAUUAACGUGGAGCGCUACUACUAUGUGGUGCACCCCAUGCGCUAUGAGGUCAAGAUGACUGUUGGCCUGGUGGUCUGUGUCCUGGUGGGGGUGUGGAUCAAGGCAGUGGUCAUGUCCGUCAUCCCUGUCCUGGGCUGGCUCUCCCUGGAUCGUUUCAAUGCCUCCCCAGCCUACAGCAGCAGGAGCUGCUCACUGCAAUGGAGCCAGAGCUCCUACUGCAAAUUCUUUGUGGUUUUCUUUGCCAUCUUCUAUUUCCUCCUGCCCGUCCUGAUCAUCCUAGUGGUCUACUGUAGCAUGUUCAAGGUGGCCAGGGUGGCUGCCAUGCACCAUGGCCCACUCCCCACCUGGAUGGAUACGCCGCGGCAGCGAUCAGAAUCCCUCAGUAGCAGGUCCACCAUGGUGACCAGCUCGGGUGCCCCUCAGACUACCCCUCAGAGGACGUUUGGGGGUGGGAAGGCUGCUAUCAUUCUUCUAGCAGUUGGAGGGCAGUUCCUCUUCUGCUGGAUGCCCUAUUUCUCCUUCCAUCUCUAUUCAGCGCUGAGCUCUCAGUCCUUCCCUGGCCGGCAGGUGGAGAGUGUAGUCACCUGGAUUGGCUACUUUUGCUUCACUUCCAACCCUUUCUUCUAUGGGUGCCUCAACCGGCAGAUCCGUGGGGAGCUCAGCAGGCACCUCACAUGCUUCUUCAAGCAGCCGCCAGAAGAGGACCUCCGGCUGCCCAGCCGCGAAGGGUCCAUCGAGGAGAAUUUCUUGCAGUUCCUGCAGGGGACUGGCUGCAACACAGAAAGCAGUAAUGUUCUUGCCCACCCCUCUCCCAAAAGGGAGCCGCUCGGCAUCGAUUUCCGAAUCCCUGGGCAGAUUGCAGAGGAGACCUCAGAGUUCCUUGACCAGCACAUCACGGUCUCCGACAGCUACAUCCGGGCCGUGCCUAAGCCCGAGCUGUAGCAAACCUUUGCACUUGACAACCUAGUCUUUCUGAUGUGUGGAAUAAUGCAGAACCCAGCUGUUGACAGGGCAUGAUUUCCUAAUAAACACAACCGUGGCGACUGACGCGUCCUCCCUCCACCUGAGCGCCCACACUGACAAGCAGCUGGUUCUGAACCGCCACCUCUGGUCUGUCUGCCCGUGGCAGAGGGGACUCUAAUGCAAGGAGCCCAUGUGACGUGAGUGGGGCAGCCACAGGACUAAGUCAUCCCCGCUGGUUGGCCCCCUCAUGAGAUCUUUGAUCACUGACAGAGACUUAGGAACCGUGAUCAGAGCCAGGCUGAACCUGAGCCUUCGCCUGUCACACGGCCCAAGCUAGGGGCGAGUGGGAUCCAAGCUGCAUUUAUCCAAACACCUUUUCUGCCUGGAUCUGACCCUGCCCCUUUCUGUCAAACAAAACUGGGGGAGAAGAGUUGGGAUCUGGCAAGACCUCAGUGGUCAAGCUUUGGGCUUACCGGACAAGGGAGUGGUUCCGAUCCCGGUCCUAUUUAUUUGACCCUCCCCCACCCCCAGGCAGUUCAGUGCAGGGUGAUGGGGCCGGGGGAGAGGGGUUCUGGUUUUGUCUCAUCUCUGCUUUCGAGAGCUGGAGAGGAGAAUGGCAUUCACAUCUCUGUCCGUGAACAAAGAUCUGCUCAGCCAAGCAGCCUCAGCCUGCUGGGAUCUCUGGCAAAAUUGCCCUGGGGCAUGGACAGAAUGGGGAUAGGGCCCCAUGUAAUCAGUGAGCCUUUCCCAGCUGGGCUGGAGAAUGGGAAAUAGCCAGGAGAAGAGGCCCAGCCACCUUUGCCAUGGGAUUAUGCACUAACCUCAGCUGCAGGGUAUCCUGAUCUCAGAGCCUGCAGAGGCUCGCUCUGGCUGGGAGGGCUCUCUCCAGGUGGGUCCUGCGCGCCAAGCUGGCAAGCCAGCAC